AUUGAACGCUGGCGGCAUGCUUUACACACGCAAGUCGAACGGUAACAGGCCUUCGGGUGCUGACGAGUGGCGCACGGGUGAGUAAUGCAUCGGAACGUACCCAGAGGUGGGGGAUAACGCAGCGAAAGCUGUGCUAAUACCGCAUGUGAUCUGAGGAUGAAAGCGGGGGACCGAGCAGCAAUGUUUGGCCUCGCGCCUUUGGAGCGGCCGAUGUCGGAUUAGCUAGUUGGUGGGGUAAAGGCCUACCAAGGCGACGAUCCGUAGCUGGUCUGAGAGGACGACCAGCCACACUGGGACUGAGACACGGCCCAGACUCCUACGGGAGGCAGCAGUGGGGAAUUUUGGACAAUGGGCGCAAGCCUGAUCCAGCAAUGCCGCGUGCGGGAAGAAGGCCUUCGGGUUGUAAACCGCUUUUGGCAGGAACGAAACGGUGUCCGCUAAUACCGGGCGCUAAUGACGGUACCUGCAGAAUAAGCACCGGCUAACUACGUG
This 492-nucleotide ribosomal RNA is filed under the name uncultured bacterium. RNAcentral describes it as "partial 16S ribosomal RNA". It matches the Rfam family "Bacterial small subunit ribosomal RNA", at positions 29 to 507 of the family's 1533-position model. The record is from RNAcentral.